This is a long non-coding RNA of Bufo bufo (common toad), 912 nucleotides long. RefSeq lists it as uncharacterized. The record is from RefSeq and is a predicted model, not a curated record. NCBI's taxonomy places the organism in Eukaryota, Metazoa, Chordata, Amphibia, Anura, Bufonidae. The transcript has 2 exons.
CCUUUCAAACCUUGCAAAAAUGAAAAUGUGGGCUAAAGCAAUUUCUAUUGGAAAAAAAUAAUUUUGAAUUUUCAUGCUCCAAUGUUAAUUAAGUUUAUGAAAUGUCUGUGGUGUCAAAACCAUCACUACAUCCCUAGCUGAAUUGCUUGGGGGUGGGGUGUAGCUUAAAAAAUGGGGCUACUUCAUGGAGUUUCUACUGUACUAGUACUUCAGAGGUGUUGCAAUAAAAUCUGAAUUUCAGAAGCCAAAUGGUGUUCCAUCCCUUCUGAGACCAGCUGCAUACCCAAACAGCUGGUUAGGACCUUAUAUUGUAUUGCUGUACUCGAGAGAAAUGGCAUAACAAUUUUUGGGAUGCUUUUUCUCCAGUUAAACCUUCUUAAAAUUUAAUAUUUUGAGCGACAAACUACAUUUCAUUGUUUUAAUAUGUAAUUUGUUAUUGUACUCCUUCAAUUCUGAGGCAAGAAUUUAUGUUCAAUAGCAUACUAGGGCGACAUAUGGGAUAUAUCUAUACAGUACCUCCAUAAACUGAAGAUUCAUACUUACCUGCUCCCUGUUGCAUGUCCAUGUUCCAGUCCCCGUGUGGUGUUUACAUCCGUCAAAGCAAGGGCACGAUUUCAUGCUCUACUGCAGCCAAUGACUGGCCUCAGCGGUGACAGGGCCACAAGCAGCAUGUCACAACUGAAGCCAGGAGGACCCCACCUCAAAAUAUUAAUGUACCACAAAUCCUUACUUCCAUAUAGCAGCAUGCAGGCCAGGAGCUGCCUUGAUGACUACUGUCUGUCACUGAGAUGAGCCUUUAGGCUAGGGCUACACAACAAUUUUGGGUGUGACCAAAGAUCGCAGGGUAGACAUAGAAAUGGGGUUGCAGCGAGACUCGCAUGUUUGCUGCAACCACGACCCCAGAACUGAAAA